GAAGAAAUUGAUUAAAGCGGCAGAGAGGAGAUAGAGGUUGACGGCGCUCAUAUGAAGAAAGAAGAUUCAGCAGCGGCCGCACUGAGUAUCACGGAGGCGAAUCGAAGUGGGAAUUCAUCAGCAGGGUCAAAUGAGAGAGAAAUCUGGGGAUUAGAUCAAGGAAAGAACUUCAACGAUUUAAAGAAACAACCAUCGUCGAGAAGUGCAGAACUUGAAGGAGCUUGAUCCAACGAAGGAUGAAGGAGAUGGCGGUAAUGAUGGCAACAGUGGUUAUGGGACGGGUUUUUUAUAUGAGUUACCCGCCCGUUGUCGGGUUAUACCGUAGCUGCCCGUUUAUAUAAAUGGGUAUAAUUCUUAAAUCGUGUCCAUUAGUUUGUGGAUUUCGGAUUUACCUGUUUAGCCGCGUAAUUCCCAAUUACUAAAAUAAAUCACUCAUUUUUUGAUUGUAGAAUGGUCAAAACAUAAUUGCUCAUAUUGGUAAAAUAGGGUUCCUAUUCGAUAACAAUGAAAAAAUCCAACAUAAACAAUGAACCAUAUAAUUUAGAUAGUUUGAAUAGAC
RNAcentral lists this long non-coding RNA (559 nucleotides) under Linum usitatissimum (flax). Its description in RNAcentral is "long non-coding RNA (LUSI_LNC002808)". Lineage: Eukaryota; Viridiplantae; Streptophyta; Magnoliopsida; Malpighiales; Linaceae. The record is from RNAcentral.